GGUAGGUCACUUACCAGCCACUUGCUGCUAUAUAUAUAUAAGCCAUAUCCAAAUAUUACAAAGAAAUGUUUUAAGAAAAAAUUAUGUUUCAUCAGACAUGUACUGAAAGGAACGUUAAAGUGGUUUGGUAAGGGAAAAGUUAUUUGUAUAAAUAUAAUAUGCUAUGCAUCAAAAUUCUAUUAAUAGAGUAUAAAAGCCACAGGGCAAAAAAGAAAGAUUCAUGUCAAUGGAUACUAAAAAAGAGCAAGCAAUAAAACAUACUAAAUUUAUUGGUAAAUGAAGUCUCACACCACACAUGUAGUACUGUAUCUUUGUGAAUACGGUAACCAAAAAGCGAGCCAUGAAAUAAAGUUGCGUUAAUUUGAAUUAAUUCCUAUGUGGGAAUUAAUUAGAUCACACAAAGUACAGUAUCUACAGUACCUCACAGAAACGAAUGUAUGGCACAGAGCAAAAUGUAAAGAAAUCCCCAAAUUAUGCCUAUGCAGGCAAUACAAAGCAAAUAUUUCAUUGAACAUUAGUCUGCUAAUGGCUCAGGUCCUUCAGGAAUGAAGGUUUGCAUCACCACGCCAGGUAAAGAGCUGUGACCAGCUGGAUGCCUGCUGGAGGCAGAAGGAAUACACAACGGGUAGUGGAAGAAGGAAGUUACGAACACCAGCUAUGACCACAGGACGAGUUACAGAAGCGAGGACUGUAACGUCAUGAGUAUUUCCUCCCUAUUUUGUUAUAAAUAUGUGGGCCUGCGCCUUGGACUAGAACUAAACCACUGCCUCUCCCGUCUCCAGCAGCUCUUGGGACUUUUCACCCUCCAGAACUGCACAGCCAAUUCCGGGAGAUGCAAUCACCAACCACACUGAACCAGAGCAAGCCUCACCAGAGAGCUCCGCCUAUGACCUCUGCCUCACUUUUAUUGCUAAGAUCUCUCCAGGAGGAGCUUAAGCCUUAUUCCCAUAACCUGCAGUGUAAGUGGAAGCACGUUUUCCAACCGAGCCUGUGCAUGUAAAUGCCCACUUCUCCUUUUUGAAUAUUCAUUUCUCAUCUGAAAUAAAAGGUCCCUGCUUCCCUUUGUUCAGGGACUCCUCGACUCUGGAAGUGAUUCCGCAUGGUCUCCUAUUUUCUGCAAAUACACCUUACUUUGUGACACAACUACUUCUGGUGGAGAGUCUGAUUUGACUCGCCCAGAGGCAAACCCACUUCGGUUUCCGUAACAGACUCAAAGAGGUAAAAGGAGCAUCCUUUAAAUACACUGAAUGGGGGACAGCCCAGUGGCUGUUAAGUUCCCAGGUUCUGCUUAGGUGGCCCCAGUUUCCCCAGUUCUGAUCCCCGGCGA
This is a long non-coding RNA of Equus quagga, 1327 nucleotides long. RefSeq lists it as uncharacterized. The record is from RefSeq and is a predicted model, not a curated record. The transcript is spliced from 3 exons. Lineage: Eukaryota; Metazoa; Chordata; Mammalia; Perissodactyla; Equidae.